GGAGCUUCUUUCUGGGGUUCAUCUGCGGAGCCAUUAGAGGCAGCAUCCUUUGGUUGUGAUGCAGUUGCACCUUCUGCUGCAGAUCCAGUUGCUUUUGAUGCUUUCUCUUUUCCAUCCUUACCGUCUUUGGCCUCUUUAGCAGGAGCAGGUGGUGGAGGAAUCAUGUGAGGUGGUGGUGUAUGCUUCAGUUUUAACAGUAUUUGCCGCAACCUAGACAGGUCCGUGGGUUUGCCGGGCUUUGGGCCUUGAACGACUGUAAUUGAUGGCUUCUUGUCCUGAUCCUUUUUGCCCCUUUUCUUUUCAAUGUUGGGAACUUC
RNAcentral lists this long non-coding RNA (317 nucleotides) under Phaseolus vulgaris (common bean). Its description in RNAcentral is "long non-coding RNA (PVUL_LNC002777)". Lineage: Eukaryota; Viridiplantae; Streptophyta; Magnoliopsida; Fabales; Fabaceae. The record is from RNAcentral.